RNAcentral lists this ribosomal RNA (253 nucleotides) under uncultured bacterium. RNAcentral describes it as "partial 16S ribosomal RNA". It matches the Rfam family "Bacterial small subunit ribosomal RNA", at positions 524 to 776 of the family's 1533-position model. The record is from RNAcentral.
UACAUAGGUCUCAAGCGUUGUUCGGAUUCAUUGGGCGUAAAGGGUGCGUAGCUGGCGCUGUAAGUCGGGUGUGAAAUUUCGGAGCUUAACUCCGAAACUGCAUUCGAUACUGCCGUGCUUGAGGACUGGAGAGGAGACUGGAAUUUACGGUGUAGCGGUGAAAUGCGUAGAUAUCGUAAGGAAGACCAGUGGCGAAGGCGGGUCUCGGGACAGUUCCUGACGCUGAGGCACGAAGGUCAGGGGAGCAAACGGG